UUUAUAGCAUUUUAAAUGUUAAUAUAAUUAGACAUAAUACCUUAUUUCCCCUGAAGUAUACCCAAAAUAAUAGUCACACACCUCAACUUAAAGGAUCUUAUUAUUUCGAAAUUAAUUAAAGGUAUAAUUUUGAUACUGGCCACAUGGCACAUACGUAAUACAUAUGUGGUAUAUACGUGACACAACACAUUGAAGUGUCCACGAAGACAACUUUUAACGGAAAGGAUUUGUCUCUACCAACACCAGGUAAUUUCUUGACAAUCACCAAAACUUGUGGUCAAGGCGACAAGAUUACUCUCGAGCUACCUAUGAUUCUAAGAACCGAGGUAAUAAAAGGUGUCCAAAAUGAAGAAAGUAAUGAAGACAAAGACCUUAUGAAGACAAAGACCUUACUUGAGAAGAUUUUUGGGUUGUUGAUAAAUGCUCUAAUAUCAAUAGUUUUGUGUUGAAUUUCUUGAAACUUAUUACGACUCGAACUUGCUAGUAUAUAAAAACUUAACUAAUUAUUUUGGACUUGAUUACAUUUUGCGUUUGAGUUUAAAUUACUAGCAUUUGAAUUAUGAGAUUAUUAAUGAAUGAUUUUAUUUUGUGAUGUGUAUGUGUUAUUAUUUAUUAUGUAUGUAAAUAAAAGUUUAC
Capsicum annuum is the source of this 636-nucleotide long non-coding RNA. RefSeq lists it as uncharacterized. The transcript is spliced from 3 exons. The record is from RefSeq and is a predicted model, not a curated record. Lineage: Eukaryota; Viridiplantae; Streptophyta; Magnoliopsida; Solanales; Solanaceae.